GAUGAAGAACUUAGCGAAAUGCGAUAAGUAGUGUGAAUUGCAGAAUUCAGUGAAUCAUCGAAUCUUUGAACGCACAUUGCGCCCUUUGGUAUUCCUUAGGGCAUGCCUGUUCGAGCGUCAUUUGAAACCUCAAGCUCAGCUUGGUGUUGGGUGUCUGUCCCCGCCUCACCGCGGGGACUCGCCUCAAAAUCAUUGGCGGCCGGUACGUUGGCUUCGAGCGCAGCAGAAACGCGAACUCGAGGCCCGGCGGAUCGGCGACCAGAAGUCACUUCUUCACAGUUUGACCUCGGAUCAGGUAGGGAUACCCGCUGAACUUAAGCAUAUCAAUAAGCGGAGGA
Molecule: unclassified non-coding RNA, 338 nt
Filed under: soil metagenome
Description: partial contains 5.8S ribosomal RNA, internal transcribed spacer 2, and large subunit ribosomal RNA
Rfam family: 5.8S ribosomal RNA (bases 1-120)
Source: RNAcentral